UGGGGAAUAUUGCACAAUGGGCGCAAGCCUGAUGCAGCCAUGCCGCGUGUAUGAAGAAGGCCUUCGGGUUGUAAAGUACUUUCAGCGGGGAGGAAGGGAGUAAAGUUAAUACCUUUGCUCAUUGACGUUACCCGCAGAAGAAGCACCGGCUAACUCCGUGCCAGCAGCCGCGGUAAUACGGAGGGUGCAAGCGUUAAUCGGAAUUACUGGGCGUAAAGCGCACGCAGGCGGUUUGUUAAGUCAGAUGUGAAAUCCCCGGGCUCAACCUGGGAACUGCAUCUGAUACUGGCAAGCUUGAGUCUCGUAGAGGGGGGUAGAAUUCCAGGUGUAGCGGUGAAAUGCGUAGAGAUCUGGAGGAAUACCGAUGGCGAAGGCGGCCCCCUGGACGAAAACUAACGCUAAGGUGCGAAAGCGUGGGGAGCAAACAGG
This 429-nucleotide ribosomal RNA is filed under the name Chloroflexota bacterium. RNAcentral's name for it is "Chloroflexi bacterium partial 16S ribosomal RNA". It matches the Rfam family "Bacterial small subunit ribosomal RNA", at positions 355 to 776 of the family's 1533-position model. The record is from RNAcentral. Lineage: Bacteria; Bacillati; Chloroflexota.